RNAcentral lists this ribosomal RNA (520 nucleotides) under uncultured Glomus. RNAcentral's name for it is "SSU rRNA". It matches the Rfam family "Eukaryotic small subunit ribosomal RNA", at positions 569 to 1090 of the family's 1831-position model. The record is from RNAcentral. Lineage: Eukaryota; Fungi; Glomeromycota; Glomeromycetes; Glomerales; Glomeraceae.
AGCAGCCGCGGUAAUUCCAGCUCCAAUAGCGUAUAUUAAAGUUGUUGCAGUUAAAAAGCUCGUAGUUGAAUUUCGGGAUCAAUGCGUCGGUCGUGCCUUCGGUACGUACUAGCGUCAUUGAUUCCUCCCUUCUGAAGAACCGUGAUGUCAUUAAUUUGGUGUUACGGGGAAUCAGGACUGUUACCUUGAAAAAAUUAGAGUGUUUAAAGCAGGCUAACGCUUGAAUACAUUAGCAUGGAAUAAUGAAAUAGGACGUUCGAACCUAUUUUGUUGGUUUCUAGGAUCGACGUAAUGAUUAAUAGGGAUAGUUGGGGGCAUUAGUAUUCAAUUGUCAGAGGUGAAAUUCUUGGAUUUAUUGAAGACUAACUACUGCGAAAGCAUUUGCCAAGGAUGUUUUCAUUAAUCAAGAACGAAAGUUAGGGGAUCGAAGACGAUCAGAUACCGUCGUAGUCUUAACCAUAAACUAUGCCGACUAGGGAUCGGAUGAUGUUAAUUUUUAAUGUACUCAUUCGGCGCCUUA